This 253-nucleotide ribosomal RNA is filed under the name uncultured bacterium. RNAcentral describes it as "partial 16S ribosomal RNA". It matches the Rfam family "Bacterial small subunit ribosomal RNA", at positions 524 to 776 of the family's 1533-position model. The record is from RNAcentral.
UACGUAGGGGGCUAGCGUUGUCCGGAUUUAUUGGGCGUAAAGGGCUCGUAGGCGGCCAAUUAAGUCCGACGUGAAAUCCCCAGGCUUAACCUGGGAACUGCGUCGGAUACUGGAUGGCUUGAAUUCGGGAGAGGGAUGCAGAAUUCCAGGUGUAGCGGUGAAAUGCGUAGAUAUCUGGAGGAACACCGGUGGCGAAGGCGGCUGCCUGGACCGAUAUUGACGCUGAGACGCGAAAGCGUGGGGAGCAAACAGG